Molecule: long non-coding RNA, 1626 nt
Filed under: Homo sapiens (human)
Lineage: Eukaryota; Metazoa; Chordata; Mammalia; Primates; Hominidae
Description: HSALNT0371640
Source: RNAcentral
CCGGAGUGCAAUGGUGCAAUCUCGGCUCACUGCAACCUCCGCCUCCUGGGUUCAAGCCAUUCUCCUGCCUCAGCCUCCCGAGUAGCUGGGAUUACAGGUGCCCGCCAACACACCCGGCUAAUUUUUUUUGUAUUUUUAGUAGAGACGGGGUUUCACCGUGUUAGCCAGUAUGGUCUCAAUCUCCUGACCUUGUGAUCCGCUCAUCUCAGCCUCCCAAAGUGCUGGGAUUACAGGCAUAAGCCACCCCGCCCGGUGGGACCAUCUUUUGCUACUUCAGACAUGGACCUAUGUCUCAGCCUAGAAGUGUGGAAGAAUGAACCUGGAUCGUUGAGUAGAAGGCACAUCACGCAAAACACUGAAACUGCCUUUGCAAAAAUCAGGGUAGUGAGAGAAGGUCUUGCAUGACUGACUCCAUCUUGCCUCAAGCCUCACAAGCCAGCUAUCUUCACUCAUUCCUGAGCACAGGCCAAGCUAACCAUGGGAGGAAUUUAUAGUUUAACUUAGAGCAAGGAUGACAAUAGUCCCUUCCUAAAACUAAUUCCUCCUUGCUCAGGGACCAAAAACUAAUGAAAGGCCUCAAGAUGAGGAUCAUGGGAGGAGUCUGAAUUCUGCUAAAAUGUAGGCAGUUUCUAUCAUCCUUACUACUCAGGAGUCAUGUGGCCAGAGGUCACAAGAUUUGAGCCUUCCCCAGUUGCUCCUAUGGAUAACAUCACUACUGUAGAACCUAAGAUUGGUCUCUUGAGAUGUUUUUCAGACCUCUGCAUUCUGGCAAUCAACUGACCUCACCUGGAAUCACGAGUCAUGACUGAACCGGUCCUGUGGCCCCACCUGGGGAUAAACUCAGCACACAAGGAUCAUUUUCCACACCUCUAUGAUUUCAUAGGCAACCAAUCAACGGCACCCAUUUUUUAGCCUCCUGCUCGCCAAAGCAUCUUUGAAAAAUCCUAACCUCCAAGCCUUCGGGGAGACUGAUUUGAGUAAUAACUCUGUUCCCUGCAUGGCUGGUCUAGUGUCAAUUAAACUCUUUCUUUACUGCCAUACCAUAGUCUCAGCGAAUUGGUUUUGUCUGUGCAAUGGGCAGGAAGAACGUGUCUGGUGAGCAUCUCCACACAUUCAGAAAUUGUCCAUCUAAGACAAUGGAGUUAUUUUCACCCUCAACAAAUGCCUCAACUCUGUGACAUUUUAAGCAAAUCUUAACUUUGACUUAUGAAUUCAAGAAGGAAAAAAAAAAAGUAAGAAAAUGUUGAUUGUAAUAUUUCCUCUGAACGUCCUUCCCCUGGGGACAGGCUCCCUUGCUGUUGUGUGGUCACUGUUCCCAUUAACCUAACGAAAUCUACACUUGCAAAUGAAGUCCUGGGGUCCACACUAAAUGUUCACAGUCUGGCCACAUGCUAAUAUUCCAUGUGCUAGCCCAUAUCUUUAAAUAGACUCAUGGAAAUGUGUUAAAUGAUAUAACAGAAUAAAAAUCAAGCUUAACUUAAAGAUGAGUCUUUUUUUUUCUAUAUGAGGAAAUAAAGCAACUGAACAUUUCUUUGCACUUUAUGUUAAAUUAAAUGCUAACAUGUACAGAAAAAAGAAAAAAUGCACUCUGAUGAUGAAGGGACUGAGUCAAAUUCACAACCAGGG